RNAcentral lists this ribosomal RNA (217 nucleotides) under uncultured bacterium. RNAcentral describes it as "partial 16S ribosomal RNA". It matches the Rfam family "Bacterial small subunit ribosomal RNA", at positions 114 to 334 of the family's 1533-position model. The record is from RNAcentral.
UGCGUGACCGACCUGCCCCAUACACCGGAAUAGCUCCUGGAAACGGGUGGUAAUGCCGGAUGCUCCAGUUGGAUGCAUGUCCUUCUGGGAAAGAUUCAUCGGUAUGGGAUGGGGUCGCGUCCUAUCAGCUUGAUGGCGGGGUAACGGCCCACCAUGGCUUCGACGGGUAGCCGGCCUGAGAGGGCGACGGCCACAUUGGGACUGAGAUACGGCCCAG